RNAcentral lists this ribosomal RNA (518 nucleotides) under uncultured bacterium. RNAcentral's name for it is "bacterial SSU rRNA". It matches the Rfam family "Bacterial small subunit ribosomal RNA", at positions 30 to 518 of the family's 1533-position model. The record is from RNAcentral.
CGGACGCUGGCGGCGUGCUUAACACAUGCAAGUCGAACGAGGUGAUUGAAAGCUUGCUUUGAGAACCGAGUGGCAAACGGGUGAGUAACGCGUAGACAACCUGCCGCAAAGAUGGGGACAACAGUCCGAAAGGACUGCUAAUACCGAAUGUUGUCAGUUUCUCGCAUGGGAGACUGAUUAAAGAUGGCCUCUACUUGUAAGCUAUCGCUUUGCGAUGGGUCUGCGUCUGAUUAGCUGGUUGGUGGGGUAACGGCCUACCAAGGCGACGAUCAGUAGCCGGUCUGAGAGGAUGAACGGCCACAUUGGAACUGAGACACGGUCCAGACUCCUACGGGAGGCAGCAGUGGGGAAUCUUCCGCAAUGGGCGAAAGCCUGACGGAGCAACGCCGCGUGAGUGAAGAAAGGGGUUUCGGCUCGUAAAGCUCUGUUGACGGGGACGAACGUGCGAGAUGCGGAUAGUUUCUUGCAAUGACGGUACCCGUCGAGGAAGCCACGGCUAACUACGUGCCAGCCGCAGC